UACGGGGGGGGCAAGCGUUGUUCGGAAUUACUGGGCGUAAAGGGCUCGUAGGCGGCCGACUAAGUCAGACGUGAAAUCCCUCGGCUCAACCGGGGAAUUGCGUCUGAUACUGGACGGCUUGAAUCCGGGAGAGGGAUGCGGAAUUCCAGGUGUAGCGGUGAAAUGCGUAGAUAUCUGGAGGAACACCGGUGGCAAAGGCGGCAUCCUGGACCGGUAUUGACGCUGAGGAGCGAAAGCCAGGGGAGCAAAC
This 250-nucleotide ribosomal RNA is filed under the name uncultured bacterium. Its description in RNAcentral is "partial 16S ribosomal RNA". It matches the Rfam family "Bacterial small subunit ribosomal RNA", at positions 524 to 773 of the family's 1533-position model. The record is from RNAcentral.